ACGGGAGGCAGCAGUGGGGAAUUUUGCGCAAUGGGGGCAACCCUGACGCAGCAACGCCGCGUGCGGGAUGACGGCCUUCGGGUUGUAAACCGCUUUCAGCAGGGAAGACCAUGACGGUACCUGCAGAAGAAGCUCCGGCUAAAUACGUGCCAGCAGCCGCGGUAAUACGUAUGGAGCGAGCGUUAUCCGGAUUCAUUGGGCGUAAAGCGCGCGUAGGCGGCGCUUCAAGCGGAACCUCUAAUCCAAGGGCUCAACCCAUGGCCGGGUUCCGAACUGGGGCGCUCGAGUGCGGUAGGGGCAAGUGGAAUUCCCGGUGUAGCGGUGGAAUGCGCAGAUAUCGGGAAGAACACCGAUGGCGAAGGCAGCUUGCUGGGCCGCCACUGACGCUGAGGCGCGAAAGCUAGGGGAGCGAACAGGAUUAGAUACCCUGGUA
RNAcentral lists this ribosomal RNA (433 nucleotides) under uncultured Eggerthella sp. RNAcentral describes it as "bacterial SSU rRNA". It matches the Rfam family "Bacterial small subunit ribosomal RNA", at positions 341 to 792 of the family's 1533-position model. The record is from RNAcentral. Lineage: Bacteria; Bacillati; Actinomycetota; Coriobacteriia; Eggerthellales; Eggerthellaceae.